UGACGCGUAGCUCAGUUGGCAGAGCAUUGGGCUAGUAUUCCAAAGGUCGUAGGUUCGAAUCCCACCGUGGCCG
Non-coding RNA from Paramuricea clavata, 73 nucleotides. The record is from the annotation of a GenBank genome assembly. NCBI's taxonomy places the organism in Eukaryota, Metazoa, Cnidaria, Anthozoa, Malacalcyonacea, Plexauridae.